Molecule: ribosomal RNA, 468 nt
Filed under: uncultured bacterium
Lineage: Bacteria
Description: partial 16S ribosomal RNA
Rfam family: Bacterial small subunit ribosomal RNA
Source: RNAcentral
GACGAACGCUGGCGGCGUGCUUAACACAUGCAAGUCGAACGGAAAGGCCCUGCUUUUGUGGGGUGCUCGAGUGGCGAACGGGUGAGUAACACGUGAGUAACCUGCCCUUGACUUUGGGAUAACUUCAGGAAACUGGGGCUAAUACCGGAUAGGAGCUCCUGCUGCAUGGUGGGGGUUGGAAAGUUUCGGCGGUUGGGGAUGGACUCGCGGCUUAUCAGCUUGUUGGUGGGGUAGUGGCUUACCAAGGCUUUGACGGGUAGCCGGCCUGGGAGGGUGACCGGCCACAUUGGGACUGAGAUACCGCCCAGAACCCUACGGGAGGCAGCAGUGGGGAAUAUUGCACAAUGGGCGGAAGCCUGAUGCAGCAACGCCGCGUGCGGGAUGACGGCCUUCGGGUUGUAAACCGCUUUCGCCUGUGACGAAGCGUGAGUGACGGUAAUGGGUAAAGAAGCACCGGCUAACUACGUG